Molecule: long non-coding RNA, 1975 nt
Filed under: Sus scrofa (pig)
Lineage: Eukaryota; Metazoa; Chordata; Mammalia; Artiodactyla; Suidae
Description: lncRNA (ENSSSCG00060027063.1)
Source: RNAcentral
GGAAGGGGAAAGUGGGACUGGCCGGGCCUGGCUGGACCGGUCUGCGCCUUCCCGUUCGCCCCGGGGGAGCCCACCUCUGCUGGCGGCCUCAUCAGAAUAGGAAGAAAGUAGCACCUUCGGACGCUGCUCUGGACCUUAGGCGCCCGUCAGAAGGGAAAGGACGAGUUCCCUCAUCAUCCUGUUAUGCGGAGAACUGUUUAUCACAGCAAAGAGCAUGAGACCUGAACCCAGAUCACCCUGGGAAAGGGAGCAGGGUGACACAGUGUGAACGAAUAACAGAGCACUUCCUGAGAUGAAAAAGAAGAUGGAAAAGGAGAUGGAAUCUCAAGAGACUUUCAUGGCCAUAAACCCCGACUCCUGAGCUAAGGUUUGAGCCCUUGCCUAUCUCUGUCAGGUAUUUAACUGGCAUUUUCUUGCACCCCUUCCUUCACAGUGGGCUCACUACUUCUGAGGGCAGCUGAUUCGAUUCUUGGGCAACUUUGACUCUUGGAAAAGUGCUUCAAAUUGAACAGGAGUCUGUCUCUCAGUGGCUGCUCUUGGUCUGGCCUUUCAGUCCACUUUCCCAACCACACUGUUUCUCUAAGAGUUGCCUCUUGUCUGAGAAUCAGCUGGGGAGCUCAUUAAAAUACAGAUUCUUGGACCCAGCCCUGACCUGGUGAAUCAGAAUCUCUGAGGCAGGGACUUAGGAAUCUGCAUCAGUUUGUAAGAUGAGGAGUUCCUGUUGCGGCUGAGCAGGUUAAGAACCCGACUAGUAUCCAUGGGGAUGUAGGUUCAAUCCCUGGCCUAGCUUAUUGGGUUAAGGAUCCGGCAUUGCCGCAAGCUAUGGCAUAGGUCAAGGAUGAGACAUGCAUCCGGCGUUGCUGUGGCUGUGGUGUAGGCUGGUGGCUGCAGCUCUGAUUCAAACUCCAGCCCAGGAACUUCCCAUGCUUCAGCUGUGGCUUUAAAAAGAAGAAAAAAAUUUUAAGAUAAGUUUUGUGGGCCCCUGAAAUGAGUUGGGAGGGUGCCCACACACAAAGAAUGUCCAAAGGGAAAGCCAGGAACUCAGAGGACCAACUUCUCCAACUUGUCAAACUCUGCCAAGGGUGGGGCUGAGUGGGGAGGAAGCCACAUUAAAUAGGGAUGAAUUAAUCCAGGAAAUCACAGAUAACAGCUAGCGCUUACUAAGUACCCACCCUUACGAAAGGCUUUGCUAAAUCCCUUGUGUGUGCACAGUUAUCUCCAUCUAACAAGCGAGAAAACUGAGGUUGAGAGAGGGGACUCAUCUAGGGAAAUACAUCUAGGAAGUGACAGCGCUGAGGUUUGUCUGACUCUGCACCCCUGCCCGCUGUCUGACGACUGGAUGAGAACAUCACGUCUGCACCUCCCAGGUCCAAGCCUCUUCUUUUAUCUCAAUGAGCAAAGUUGUUUUCCUUUAACUGUGGAGCCUGUUUUCACCCUCUUUCCUAGGAGGAAAGAAAUCUCUCCAGGUGAUUUCAAGGAGCACCAGCCAGUCCCCAAGAAGGCAGGGCUAUGUGGAGCUUCUGGUCCUGGGGGAACAGCACACACCCUCUGGGAGCAGUCUUGCUUGCAUAGGCUGCUCACAUCACACUGUCAUUCCUACGGUCAGGCCCACCCCUAACACUUGCAGAGCCUGAGCAAGGGUAUAAAUGGAGACCCACAGAGCACAUGUCUGAAGAUCUGGAAAUUAGAAAUUAAGGUAACAGGAGUUCCCGUUGUGGCUCAGUGGAAACGAGUCUGACUAGCAUCCAUGAGGACUCAGGUUCGAUCCCUGGCCUCUUUCAGUGGGUUAAUGAUCCAUUGUUGCAGUGAGCUGUAGGUGUUGGUCGAGGACUCAGCUUGGCUUGACUCGGCUCAGCUCGGCUAGGCUCUGGCGUUGCUGUGGCUGUGGUGUAGGCCAGCAGCUACAGCUCCAAUUGGACCUCUAGCCUGGAAACCUCCAUAUGUACAGGUGUGGCCCUAAAAAGACAAAAAAAAA